AGGUGUUGCAUGGCUGUCGUCAGCUCGUGUCGUGAGAUGUUCGGUUAAGUCCGCUAACGAGCGCAACCCUCGUCGUAUGUUAUAUGUGUCAUACGAGACUGCCGGUAAAAGCCGGAGGAAGGUGAGGAUGAUGUCAAGUCAGCAUGACCUUUAUAUCCAGGGCCUACACACACGCUACAAUGGUCUGUACAAUGGGUAGCCAAGCCGCGAGCGGAGCCAAUCCUGAAAGCAGGCCUCAGUUCAGAUUGCAGUCUGCAACUCGACUGCAUGAAGCCGGAGUUGCUAGUAACCGCAGGUCAGCAAUACUGCGGUGAAUACGUUCCCGGGUCUU
Molecule: ribosomal RNA, 331 nt
Filed under: uncultured Anaerolineaceae bacterium
Lineage: Bacteria; Bacillati; Chloroflexota; Anaerolineae; Anaerolineales; Anaerolineaceae
Description: bacterial SSU rRNA
Rfam family: Bacterial small subunit ribosomal RNA
Source: RNAcentral